GUUUCUCUUUUGGUUGGAAGUGAGAACACAAUUUUAAGUUAAUCAGAACUGGCACAUUGCCUAUAAAUUCUAAAAGCACCCAGUUUUUGUCUAUGCUGGUGGUUUUUGCAGAAAAUCUUUUUGGAUUCCACUAGGCUGAUCGCAAAACACACAGAUAAUCUACUUGAUGAGCUUUGGAAUUACAUAAAAGAUGGAAAGCUUGCUGAGACAGCCGUUUUGCUACUGGCAGCCCAAGAGCAGAUCCGCAUGGGAACUUCCUGUAAGAAAAUUGGAAAUAGUAAGGCAGAUGGGUUUCAGGUUAUCUACAAAUGUAUUAUGGACAACAGUAUCAAAUUACAGUCUGAAAAGGGCCAAAACCUAAUGGAAAAGGAGGAAUUGGAGACUAAAAUAAAGCUUCGUCAUACAGCAAUGAUGCUUGUUCAUGUAAUUUCCAAAGCUGGUGAAGGUCUUGAAUCAUACAUUCGAAACCAUCUAGAGGUAUCACAGUGUUGGUAGUUGCAGUUACAAUGCCUCUAUUUUCUUCGCUUUACUAAAAUUUGCAUAGCUUCUUGGUUAUUCCUGCAUUAUCCUGAUAUAUAUAGAAUAGGAAAUGCUAAAAAUACUGUCAAUUAUUGAGAUAAAUAGCAAAAUUUGUACUCUAUCUAGAACAUUUAAGUUUCUGGAACUUGAUGUUUCUGAAGUUUAGUUCAGUUUACACAAAUUUUGGAUAAGCAAUGACACUCACCAUUUGGAACCUGUCAAGGUUUUUGUGUUCAGUUAGAUAACAUGAAAACUAUAUUUCACCUUUGGGAAAUCUAAACUAAACAAUCGAGG
Molecule: long non-coding RNA, 813 nt
Filed under: Triticum aestivum (bread wheat)
Lineage: Eukaryota; Viridiplantae; Streptophyta; Magnoliopsida; Poales; Poaceae
Description: long non-coding RNA (TAES_LNC000408)
Source: RNAcentral